UCCGCGCUGUCACGGCUCCACUCGGCUCAGCACAGCUCCUCGCGGCAUCACCCGCUCCACCCGGCUUCACCCGACCCCUCUCGGCUUCCCGCGUCCCCUCACAGCUUCGUCCGCCCCAGCCCGGGACACUCGUACUCAGGCAGGGCGGAGGCAGGAGCCCCGAGGGGAGCCAUGAGCCGUCUGACCGAUUUUUGCGUCUGCUUUGCCUCUGUGGAGCCGCACUGGCUUCACGGAGCUCAGUAAAAACAAAGAAGUCGAUACACAGUCAGACACGAGAGGAAUGGUUUAAUUCCUCUGUACAGGCAGAACAACUGGAUCGACUGCAGUAGGGAAACAGAGAUGAGGUACGUUGUCUUUCUCUGUGUAUGAAAGUCAGAGCAAACCCUGCGAAACAGAUGGGCUCAGGACAACCUAACCUUCUUCUUGGUGGUCACUGUCCAAGAUGUGCUAGUUCUGAAAAAUUUAAAAUUGCUCCUCUUUCUUCUCUGCAGUUGUGCAAUGUAUUAUCAACUCUAAGGUUUACUAUUACCAAAAAUGCACCUUGUUCAACUGGUAACAGAAUGUGCUGCCAUCUUGGAGUCCUGUUUCAGAGAAUCUAUCUGUUGACAUAAAGCAACAGCAGAAACUUGCUAACAAAUCCGCACCUUGUUUUAUUCAUCACAUUAGUCGAAUUAGCAUUUAAAUUACCUAAAUAUUAAGACCACUUCAGUCAAAACCCUGGACCUAGGCCAUGCUGGCAAUGGGCAAGUGAGGAUGUGGAAGUAAACUUAAAAGCUGUAUCUGUUUCUCAGAGAUCUGUGAAAACUUCAGCUAUGAUGUGAAUAUCUCCAUCAUUAGAGAAGCUCUGGCAUAGAUAGAUUUUUAAAAAGUUAGUGCAAUCUUCUCUUUGCUGCUUCUUCAUAGCAGAAAUCCAUCCCAAACCAGGAAUGCUGCCAGGGACUGCAGCUCCCCUCAGAAUUCGCUUUAUCCUCCAACAUGAGUGACCAAAGCCAAGAAGGAUCUUUCACAGGUGAUUUUGGCUCUUUUUUUGCUAAAAAACAGCUGGAUGGCACUCAAGUGCAAUCAAAUAGUCCUGUCCUGAAUAAUUACCUCGUUUCUCCUUCAUCUAUGGAUUUUCUGUAGAGGUGCAUCCAUUUCCAAACCAAGCUCUAUUCAAAAUGCAACUGAGAAAGUUACUCUCCCUAAACAAGUGAAUUCCAACAUGAGGGCAGAAAGCAAAGCCAACAAGAUCCCAAGGCACUGCAUCCUCCAGACACCCUAACUUUAUUGUUCUUAAGUGGAUGAGCCCUGCAGACAUGGAACAGGCUGGCAGUGGCUCGGCUCAACCAAGGCACACACAGCAGCCCAGGAUGUAACAACUCACUGCUGCUCACAUUGCUUCUCUGCCUACUCUUCACUGCCCUGUUUUAUGAAAUUUAGCUUUCAUCUCCUCUAGACUUGAGAGAAGGUGAGGCAUUAGGAAGCCAAGGAAAUUACUGUACUUGCCAAUAAACUGUUACAAGAGGAGAAGCAAAUAUUGAGAGUGAACUCCCAGUCCCUUCAGCAUUAGAAUGAAGACAGGUGCUUCUUCUU
This is a long non-coding RNA of Vidua macroura (Pin-tailed whydah), 1572 nucleotides long. RefSeq lists it as uncharacterized. The record is from RefSeq and is a predicted model, not a curated record. The transcript has 4 exons. NCBI's taxonomy places the organism in Eukaryota, Metazoa, Chordata, Aves, Passeriformes, Viduidae.